This 677-nucleotide ribosomal RNA is filed under the name uncultured archaeon. Its description in RNAcentral is "bacterial SSU rRNA". It matches the Rfam family "Archaeal small subunit ribosomal RNA", at positions 41 to 719 of the family's 1478-position model. The record is from RNAcentral.
CGAUUUAGCCAUGCUAGUCGUACGGGUUAGACCCGUGGAAGAUAGUUCAGUACCACUUGGCCAAUCUACCCUGUAGCCCCUGACAUCCUCGGCCUUUUGAGGCCAAUCGGGGAUACAAGUCUCACGCUGGAACCGCCAAGACUCCCAAACGGCCCGCCGCUACAGGAUGAGGCUGCGGCCAAUUAGGUUGACGGGGGGGUAACGGCCCACCGGGCCAAUAAUCGGUACGGGGGGUGAGAGCACGAGCCCGGAGACGGAUUCUGAAACAAGAUUCCGGGCCCUACGGGGCGCAGCAGGCGCGAAACCUUUACACUGCACGCACGUGCAAUAAGGGGACUCCAAGGGCGAGGGCUUAUCGUCCUCGUUUUUGUCGACCGUAAGGUGGUCAACAAAUAAGGGCUGGGCAAGACCGGUGCCAGCCGCCGCGGUAAUACCGGCAGCCCGAGUGAUGGCCGAUCUUAUUGGGCCUAAAGCGUCCGUAGCCGGCCUGGCAGGUCCGUCGGAAAAUCCAGCCGCUCAACGGUUGGGCGACCGGCGAAACCCGCCAGGUUUGGGACCGGAAAACUCGAGGGGUACGUCCGGGGUAGGAGUGAAAUCCCGUAAUCCUGGACGGACCGCCGAUGGCGAAAGCACCUCAAGAGGACGGCUCCGACGGUGAGGAACGAAAGCUGGGGUCU